GAAAACUGGGUUUUAUAAAAUGGCAACAAGGAAACAGAAUAGGAAAAAAAACUGGUUAACUUUUUUCGUUACUUUUUUUUUGUAAGGGUUAAAGCAGAGAGCAGCUCCUCGUUACAUGGACUCAGAUAGACUGGAAUCUCCUGUUUUCAGGAAAAACUGGUCUGGUUUGGGAUCUAUCUGCCUCCUUAAAGCUUCAUUUGACUUUGUGGCAUUUAGCAUUAGUGACUUCACUUUGGUUUUGUCUGGUUUGUUGGGACCUAGUGCCAGAGCUCAGGCUGAAACAAUGUCUUCCAUAAAUUUUUUUUUUUUAACAAUUCCAACACCCCAAACAGUGUUGGGAGAAAAUUCCACAGUCCUGCAGAUUGGCUUCAUUUGACAUUGACAAACAAUCCUUGUUUUAUUAUUGUGUUUGAUUAUUUAUUUAUUUUUAGAGAUCGAGUUUCGCUCUGUCACCCAAGCUGGACUGCAAUAGCACGAUUUUAGCUCACUGCAGCCUCAAACUCCUGGGCUCAAGCAAUCCUCCUGUCUCAGCCUCCUGAGUAGCCAGGACUACAGGCAUAUACCAUCACACCUGGCUAAUUUUUAAAUUUUUUGUAGAUAUGGGGUCUUGCCAUGUUACCCAGGUUGGUCUCGAACUCCUCGCCUCAAGUGAUCCUCCUGCCUUGGCCUCCCAAAAUGCUGAGAUUACAGACAUGAGCCACUGCACACAGCCAAAGCACUGCAUGGUCGAUGAGAAAGAUCUCGCCCUUGGACCUCAGGCUUGCAUACUCUACUGUCCACUCAACACCUGCGACUGAAUGUGUAAUCUGCGUCUCAAAACCAGCCUGCCCCAAAUUGCCCGCUCCACCCCCAGCCACCUGCUCCUCCCCAUGCAAACUCGUCUCUGCUGAUGCAACGCCAUCCUUCCAGUUGCCCUGACCAAAAUCUCCAUCUUCCAAACCCCUGUCUUUCCCUUACAUCCCACAUCUGCUGUAAAAGCAACUCCUGCUGACUCACCCUUCAAAAAUCUAGCCAGAAUCCAACCGUUUCUCACCACCCCGCCACCAUCAGCCUUGUUCUCCCACCCUGGGCAACGGCAGCAGCCUCCUUCCUGGUCUCACCUGGUCUCCCUGCCUCCACCCUUCCACUCAAGUUUCAACUCAGCAGCUAGAAUGCUUGGUGAAAACAUAAAUCUGAGCAUGUCUCUUUCUCUGCCCUGUCACUCAGCAUAAAGGCCCAAGUUAUUAUAGUGGCCAACAGCCUGGGCCCCUUUCCUCCUCUGGCCUCCUCUUCAACCACCUCCCCCUGCUCCCCGGGGUUCCUCUUCCUCCUCCCAGUUUUUCCCUGACAUGCCCUGCCCUCAGAUGCCCACACGGCUCGCCCCUCACUUGUUUCAUUUUUCACUCAAAUGCCACUUCCCUGCAAGGCCUCAGCUGUCCCCCAUUUAGAGUUCUGCACCCCCUUUUCCCCACUCAUUUGUCUUCCAUGGCACUACUGCCAUGAGCACAUGAUGUACUUUGUUUGAUUUCUUUGUUUGAUUUCUUCUCCGUACCAGGGAUUUUUGUCUGUUUUCUUUGUUCCUGUAUCCCCCAGCACCUGGAACAAUGCUUGCCGUAUAGUAGGUGCCUAGUAAAUAUUUAUUCAAUCAAUCCAGCAAGCAGCAUAAGAAUCUCUGCAAUGGACAGCCCCAGAAGGUUGUGAAUCCUCCACUCCCACAGAGAUCAGAUGGUAGGAAGGAGAUCCACUUACUCAUUGCACAAGGACUCCUGGCUGCCUAGCAGGUGCCAGGCACUGUUCUAGGCACCAGGGAUACACCACGAACAAAUAGGACUAAACAAAGCAAAACAGAAGAAACCCUGCACAGGAGCUUACCUGACA
RNAcentral lists this long non-coding RNA (1857 nucleotides) under Homo sapiens (human). RNAcentral's name for it is "HSALNT0115742". The record is from RNAcentral. Lineage: Eukaryota; Metazoa; Chordata; Mammalia; Primates; Hominidae.